Long non-coding RNA from Cavia porcellus (domestic guinea pig), 5942 nucleotides. RefSeq lists it as uncharacterized. Lineage: Eukaryota; Metazoa; Chordata; Mammalia; Rodentia; Caviidae. The transcript is spliced from 3 exons. The record is from RefSeq and is a predicted model, not a curated record.
UCACACCCUCCCCAUGACCUCCCUUACUCUCCUCCUCAUCCCUUUUCCUCGCCCAAGUCUCCCUCCCACUUUCGUGUUAUCCUUCCCUCCCGUAGAUUCCACACAUGAGAGAAAACACAUGAUAGUUGUAAUCAGAGCAUGGCUGACUUUGCUUAACAUGACAUUUUCCAGUUCCAUCCAGUUUUCCUAUGUAUGAUGUAAUUUCAUUCUUCUUUACGGCUGAACACUCCACUAUGUAUGUAUACACCCCAUUUGCUUUAUCCAUGCAUCAGUUGACAGUCUGGGCUGAUUCCAUGGCUUGGCUACCAUGAAUUGAGCUACCAUACACAUGGGCGUGCAGCUACCUCUAUGGUGAUCUGACUCUAAUUCCUUUGCAUGUGUGCUGACGAGAGAAGGUGUGCCUGGAUGCUAUGGUAGUUAUUACUGUGCUGUUCUUGUCUCUAAGUGUCCUCUGAGUGCUCACCCUGUGCUUUGUUCUGUGAAGAAGUUUCUAGAUCUUGGCCACGAUAUAGUUGUUUUCUUUGGGGUCAAGUCCCUCUGGUGUUGUGCUCCUGAGUUUCUUCAUCAACCUAGGGUUCAGAUGCCAAUCAAGUCUGAUGACUGCAGAGGCUGUACCGAUCCCUGCCAGCCUGUGUAUCUUCUCCUUGCUUAAUCCCGAAUUUCUCAUCCCCAUUCUCCAGCCUAAGAACAGGCUCUCCGCUCUCCCACCCCGCUCCCACCUGGUUGAUAACCUCUUUGCUACUACAGUUUCCUUUGCAUUCAAUUCUUCCUGACAGAUUGGACGUGAAUCAUGUGUAAGUCUAGCUGACUCUCUCCUUGACCUUGGGAGGAUCGAGUUUCCAGUUUUUGGUUUUCUGGCCUGGUUUGUAUCACAAGACUGGGUCAUAGUGUGCUUGCUCCAAAGCUUCAGUAAGUUUAUUUCAUGAGCUUCACUGAUAACAGAAGGGAACUGAGUUAGAUCAGUCCCUUCCUGACUAAAAGGGAUAUUAGUGGCAGGAAUAUGGCCUGGUGGGGUUAAAACUAUCUGGGGGACAAAAGAUGGGUUGUGGCCUUAAUUUUAUCAUCAACUCCUUGGUGACUUGGAAGAAACCCUCCUUUUGGAGCUUUGGUCUGUAGAGUAAGGAGACUGGUUUCAGGAAAGCCCCUAAGCUUUCCUCUGGCUUUGGUAGCCUAAACUGUUAAGGCCUAAAUGUAAACCUGCUAGUAGUUUCCAAACCCUCUCUAUCACCAUGGACCAAUCUGUGAGUAUCUUUUUGUAAGCCCACAGAUUAGUGGGCUUCAUUUUGGUAUAUCUGCACACGCAUAGAUCACUCUUUGAUCGUUAUCCCCACCGUUACUCUCUCUCUCUGCCCUCCUUCCUCUUCUGCUCUUCUUUUCUGCUUUCUUGUUAGAUGUCUUCCUUCUUCCUUCUUCCUCUCCAUUUGCCCUCCUCUCUCCUCCAUGAGAGGAAACACGCAGUGUUUGACUGACUUCACUUCAACGAUGGUCACCAACUCCAUCCACUUCCCUGCAAUGACAUGACUUCAUUGUUCUUUAUGGCUGACUAAUAAUUCAUAUGUUCAACCCUGGUACGUGAGGUUUCAGAACUGUUGACCCACACUGCCAUGAGAAACAGCUUCGUCAAUUAGAGUAUAGCACCACGCUUCUGAAUAGUUCUAUUAUAUAUAUUUUGAUGUCAGCAUUGUUUUCAAAUGUCAUUUUAGCCCAUGCUAGACAUCUAGUGGCUGUUUUUGAUUUUCAAAUAUCAUUUCCUUUCUCCAUCCAUCCGUCUUUGGGUACCUAGGCAGUUUCCAUAGCUUCACCAUUGUGAAUGAUGCUGCAAUUCCAUGGCCUGGCUAAUAUCUCUACAGGAUGCUGAACUUAAUUCUCUUGGGAAUAUAGCAGGCAUAAAAGACCUAGAUUAAAUGGUAGGUUUAUUUUUAGUUGUUUUGAGGCACUCCCAUACUGCUUUCUGUUUUUGCCAGAUUACCGAGAAUUUACAUUUUUUCCACUAUAGUCAGAAUCAUAAAAAAUGCAGAUAUAACAUAUUAUCUCCCUUUAAAACCUUUCAGUGCUCAGAUCCCUAACAUUUGCCCCACCACUGACUUCAAUCUAAAUUUAUAACAUGACUUAUCUUCCUCAUCUCAUUUUAAGCCACUCCAAAGCUUCACGAUCUGUGGCUCAGUCGUGUUGAAAUUGUUUCAGUUCCCAGUUGAUGGCUUGCCUAUUGUAACUCAUUGCUUCAGGUCCCUGUCUUUCCUGUGUGGUCCUGCCUUCACGGCUUUGUUUUCCAUGUUUACUGCACAUGGCCGAAGCAGUAUUUAAUUAAGGAUGAGUGGGUUGCAUGAAUCAGGGCUACUCAUUCAUUUAUAUUUUAAUUCAUUCGUCUUCCAACAAAUGAUGGUGAUUUCACUGAAAGAAACACAAGCCCAAUUCUACUAGAUUAAAUUUUUAAAAAGUGGCGAGUAUAUUUGGAAUGUAAUAGAAGUCCAUAGAUUCAUGGACUCUUGGAUAGGAAUGAGAUGAUUCAGAAAUUCCAACAUGCUUGCCACUUCAUCUUUCUUGUGCUUCUUGCACUUCUCUCCUUGUUCUUAUAUGCAUGGUGCCUUUCUCCUCCUUCAGCUCCUGCAGGAUUCACUUGCCUUCCCUUCCAUCCCUUGAAAGGCAAAGAACAUCUAUAUGAACUGGGAAAAUAUCUUAGCCAACUGUUCCUUAGACUUAUAUGUCUGUUCCUUAACUUUAUAUGUCUAGAACGUAUAAAGAAGUAAAAAAAAAAAAAACAUGCCUCCAAAAUUCAAGGACCCAACCCAAAAAUGGACAUCUAAGGUGAAUACAUACUUUUCAGAUGAAGAAAUACAAAUGGCAGAUAAAUAUAUGAAACAAUGUUACAGCAUCAUUGGUCAUUCAAAAAAUGCAAAUUAAAACAGCACUGAGAUUCCAUCUUACUCCAGGAAGAAUGGUUAAGCUCAAGAAAUCAACCAAUAACAAAUGCUGGAGUGGCUGUAGGGAAAAAGGAACUCUUCUCCACUGUUGGUGGGAGUGUAGGCUGGUGCAACCACUGUGGAAAUCAGCAUAGGAUUCCUCAAAAAGCUAGGAUUAGAGGUCCCAUUUGACCCAGCUGUUCCACUUCUGGGCAUUUUCCCAGAAGAAUUCAAAACAUCUUACCGCAAUGAUAUAUGUGCACCCAUGUUUAUAGCAGCACAAUUGGUAAUAGCCAAAUCUUGAAAACAACCCAAAUGCCCUUCAAUCAAGGAAUAGAUAAAAAAAGUUGUGGUUUUUUUCUACAAUAGAGUACUACUCAGCUAUAAAAAAGAUUACAGUGAGGCUUUUAUAAGUAAAUGGACGCGACUUGCGACCAUACUUGUAAGUGAAAUAAAUCAGACUCACAUGUGUAAAUACCAUAUUGUCUCCCUAGUGUAAGAAAAUGAAAGAGCAAUUACAAUCCAAAAUCUACAGUAAGUAUUGUGUAAGGUAAGAAACUGCUCAAAGAGGAAAAGUAACUGGGUUAGGACAGAGGAGGAAAGAAGGAAGGGAAAAGGAAAAAGUCAUAAAUUUGUAUACAUAAGAUAGCUAAGAUGACUAUACUGCUAACUGUGUUAAUUCUUGGAAAAGAACAGUUAAUAGUCAUACGAUUAGAUCAAUUUUGCAUGUAUUUAUCUGGUAAUCUAAGCAACCCUUUUGAAGGUAACAAUAUGCAACAUUACAACCAUUGUUAAAUUCCUAUUAUCUUUUUUUUGAAAACCUAUAGUGUUAAUUGUUUGGAGUUUGAUGUUGUUAUUUGUCUCUUUUGCUUUUUGUUUUUAUUUUCUGUGUCUUUUUGCUCUUAAAUAAAUAAAAAAUAUUUUAAAAAAAGAAAAAAAAAGGAAAGGCAAAGAACUUCUCUUUAACCUGUAGAUGAUGAAACCAUAGGGUAGAUUCUUUCCACCCGGCUUGAGUCAAAAUGUCGACAAUGAAGAGGCUCUUAGGACAGCAAGAUGUCCUGUGGGUGAGUGUCCAAGGCAGUGCCCACCCCUUGGACUGGCCUGGAGGAGAGAGAGCUACCACAGACACAACCUGUCACACAGGCAGGAGUGCAGGCUCUGAAGUUGAAUUCUAGAUUCAGAACCCAGCUCUAACUCUCACUGAGUGAAUUUAGCAAGUCAUGUAAUUUUUCUGUGUUCUUUAGAAUGGACACAGUAGUACUUACAGUAGUAAUUACAGAUUAUUGUGAGAAUUAAAUAGGUCAAUCUAUAUAAAACAUAAUAAUUGCUGAGUGCAUGGUAAAUGCUAUGCUAGCAUUUGUGGGAUAAAAAUAAACAACAAAAUAAUCCAAUUGAGUUGCAUCUUCCCAAGAAAUAGCCACUUUCUUCAUAUUUAAUAAGAAUCUUCUAGGCACAAGGUACAGUUAUUAGUGAUUGAGAUACACUAGGGAUAAUAUGGACAAAAUUUUACCCUUUACUAUAUUUCACGGAGCUACAGACAAUACAGAAGGGAUAGAUUUGAGGAAUCUGCCUCUUAAAUUAGGAAUUAUGGGCUGGAGACCUGCUGUGACAUUUGCGGUUUUUAGCUCAUGCGAAUGUAGCCUAAUUAAUGAGAAGUUAUUGCUUGGCCAGGUAAAAAACUGCCAGAGUUGGGAGUGUUAUCAGGUAUGGCACAGUGAACUGGGCUCCCUGAUGUCAGCCUCCAGCAGGGGAGAAAACUCAACUAUGCAUUAAAGAAUGAAUUAUUCUUCAAGCAAAGCUUUGUUUUUUUUUCUUUUUGGUUUCCCUGGGCAUGUGGGUGAGAGUGAGUUGGGGCUGGGAAAUAUGAGAUUGUGAGUUUUUAGCUAAAACUGGCAAAGGACAGUUGUUCUGUCAGUUGGGAGCCAAAUGGAAAGGGACUUCAUCUACCCACAAAGGACAUUAUUUUCUUGAACAAUGUGACAAGACAUAGCAAUAAUAUAUGCAUACUAUAGUAGUGUAUAGUAGUGUACUUGUAUAAAUGUAUAAAGUACUAUACAUACUAUAGUAGUGUAUGGUAGUGUACUUGUAUAAAUGUAUAAAGUAGCAAUGUAUAUUGAAUCUUUUUUAUAAUAAGCCUGGUUUUCAGUAUUUCUUUCUGAAUCAUUUUAAUUAUCAAAAUACCACAACAAUUAUGCUAUUUUUGUUAACUGGAAUUGGCUAACUAUGUCCUUCAGAAUUAAGAUGAAAAAUUUUCCAACAGGUCUUUUAUCACAUGUCAUGUCUUGAUUUUCAUUUUGUGGUUAGGGUUAGGCGAUAGAUAUUAGGGAGAGUGUAAAGAUUAGGUUUACGGUUAGGUUUAAUUUUAUGAUUAGGUUUAGGUUUAGGCUUAGGGUUAGGUGUAGGGUUAGGGUUACAUUUAGUGUUAGUUUUUUUUAUUUUAAAAACAAAAAAAGAAGAAAAAUGAUGAUACAGAAUUUCAAAAACAAAGUGACAGGAGAUGAACACUGGUUAAUAUAUUGCUUAUUGUUAUCUUCAAGGCAGUAUGAGAGAAAAUAGCCAUUAAAUAUACUGUACGUACAUAUUCUUGAUGUUUGGUCAGAAUUGUUCCCCAGUGAUGGUAUUCCUCUACCAAUCUCUUACAGGGUUAGGGAAACGGUUUGUGGGCACGAAGUGAAAUCUUUCAUUCUCCAGUGAGAAAAGUGUCUGCAUGUGUAAUUCACUCCUGUAUCUCUGCUGCCUGAAAAUGACAAUGACUACUUUCAUUGAGUGCACAGGGAGGAAUCUUCGACUUACAUAUGGUGUGACCUCUUCCAAAUUGUCCGCCUGUAAGUGACAGAGUCAGACUGGAACUCAGGAGCUCUGGGAGGGUUAAUAAGUUCCUACUCUUUGCGGCUGAUCACACCUUCUUCAGAGAUUUGAACUGGUUUAGAUUGUGUCCCCAGAGUACCAAAGAACUGGUAUGAGCAAUUUCCUGAGAAAUACACCAUUUAACUUUUAUUAUUACCAAAUUGACUUUUGAUUUUAAUAAACUGUUAUAAACCA